GUGGGGAAUCUUGCGCAAUGGGCGAAAGCCUGACGCAGCCAUGCCGCGUGAAUGAUGAAGGUCUUAGGAUUGUAAAAUUCUUUCACCGGGGACGAUAAUGACGGUACCCGGAGAAGAAGCUCCGGCUAACUUCGUGCCAGCAGCCGCGGUAAUACGAAGGGGGCUAGCGUUGCUCGGAAUUACUGGGCGUAAAGGGCGCGUAGGCGGACAGCUUAGUCAGAGGUGAAAGCCCAGGGCUCAACCUUGGAAUUGCCUUUGAUACGGUCUGUCUUGAGUUUGGGAGAGGUGAGUGGAACGCCGGGUGUAGAGGUGAAAUUCGUAGAUAUUCGGAGGAACACCAGUGGCGAAGGCGGCUCACUGGCUCGAUACUGACGCUGAGGUGCGAAAGCGUGGGGAGCAAACAGGAUUAGAAACCCCUGUAGUCC
RNAcentral lists this ribosomal RNA (425 nucleotides) under uncultured bacterium. RNAcentral's name for it is "partial 16S ribosomal RNA". It matches the Rfam family "Bacterial small subunit ribosomal RNA", at positions 354 to 796 of the family's 1533-position model. The record is from RNAcentral.